This 886-nucleotide long non-coding RNA is filed under the name Trifolium pratense (red clover). Its description in RNAcentral is "long non-coding RNA (TPRA_LNC008445)". Lineage: Eukaryota; Viridiplantae; Streptophyta; Magnoliopsida; Fabales; Fabaceae. The record is from RNAcentral.
UGUUUUAUGCACCGAUGCAUAUAAUUCAGUUUUUAAGAAAAUAAUGUGAGUUAUAUGCAUCGGCUUAAGCAUCCCUUGUACCGAUUCAAACCUGCCCAAACCUUGGUUGAGUCAAUUCAACAAGUGAAUGCACCGAUUCAAUCGUUUCCAGUUUUUAUAAAACAUCUCCUGAGAGUUAUGCACCGAUCCAUGAUGCGCAUGCACCAGCUCAUAACACCCAUAAUGGGCAUUUUAGAGUUUUUAAGGAAACGUCGCAUCGGUUCAAGCUCUGUUUAAGCCGGCUCAAGCUCAAUUUCCUGCAUAACUUAAAAUCAAUCCAAAUACAAUUUAGAUUAUAUAUCUCUUAGUUUCACUAUGUUCCACGAUUUCCAGUCCAUUCAACAUGCAAGGGCUUUUUUAAGUAGUUAAUUAGUCGCUUCAUGAGUUUUUAUUUCCUAAUUAAUCCCUAAAACUUAAGUUAACGUGCAUAGUUGGAUUUUGGGGAAAACUAAUAAGGCUACUCUAUUAAGUGAGAGUUUACCUAAAGGAACCCACCUGAUUUGAUAGCAAUUCCGAACUGUUUCGCAUGCUUAUAAUCAUCCGCUUGAGCCACUCAAGAUGCAAACCCGUAGCACAUAAAACACCAAAAUUCCAGAUUUUCUGCACAAUUCCUGCUACUGGCUUCCAACUUCAAAAAUGUCUAUCGACCUCAUCGCUCGUCCAAAAAUUAUGAAACUGGUACCACAACGACCGUAUUUGAGUUAGCUAUCCAUAGAAAUAAACGAUAUCUCAUUCGGAGCUACAGGGAGAGAACAGUUACCUUUUUAGUGCAGGUCUGUCCUUGAAUACGGGUUUGAUACCAAAAUUCUUCAUUCUCUAGUUUCACUUGAUUUCUCCAACACCCAUG